RNAcentral lists this ribosomal RNA (864 nucleotides) under uncultured Chloroflexota bacterium. RNAcentral's name for it is "bacterial SSU rRNA". It matches the Rfam family "Bacterial small subunit ribosomal RNA", at positions 33 to 916 of the family's 1533-position model. The record is from RNAcentral. Lineage: Bacteria; Bacillati; Chloroflexota.
AGGAUGGCGGCGUGCUAAUACAUGCAAGUCGAACGAAGACUGUAGUAAUACUGUCUUAGUGGCGAACGGGUGAGUAACGCGUGGGUGACCUGCCCCGAAGUGUGGGAUAACAGUUCGAAAGGAUUGCUAAUACUGCAUAAUAUCCAAGAGAUUAGACGCUUUUGGAUUAAAGGAGUAAUUCGCUUCGGGAGGGGCCCGCGUCCCAUCAGCUAGUUGGUAAGGUAAUGGCUUACCAAGGCGAUGACGGGUAGGGGACCUGAGAGGGUGGCCCCCCACAAUGGAACUGAAACACGGUCCAUACACCUACGGGUGGCAGCAGUAGGGAAUAUUAGUAAUGGGCGAAAGCCUGAACUAGCAACGCCGCGUGUGCGAAGAAGGCCUUCGGGUUGUAAAGCACUUUUUGAGAGGAUGAGGAAGGACGGUACUCUCAGAAUAAGUCUCGGCUAACUACGUGCCAGCAGCCGCGGUAACACGUAGGAGGCAAACGUUAUCCGGAUUUACUGGGCGUAAAGCGCGUGUAGGUGGUUUGGUAAGUAGGGCGUGAAAGCUCCUGGCUCAACUGGGAGAGGACGUUCUAAACUGCCAAGCUUGAGGAUGGUAGAGGGAGGUGGAAUUCCGGGUGUAGCGGUGGAAUGCGCAGAUAUCCGGAGGAACACCAGUGGCGAAGGCGGCCUCCUGGACCACUCCUGACACUCAGACGCGAAAGCUAGGGUAGCAAACGGGAUUAGAGACCCCGGUAGUCCUAGCCCUAAACGAUGUAGACUUGGCGUCGGUGGUUUAAUCGCCAUCGGUGUCGUAGCUAACGCGUUAAGUCUACCGCCUGGGGACUACGGCCGCAAGGUUAAAACUCAAAUGAAUUGACGG